GAUGAACGCUAGCUACAGGCUUAACACAUGCAAGUCGAGAGGUAACAAGAGGAAAGCUUGCUUUUCUUGUUGACGACCGGCGCACGGGUGAGUAACGCGUAUCCAACCUGCCUAUAACUAGGGAAUAACCUUGCGAAAGUAAGACUAAUACCCUAUGAUUUCCUUUGAUGACAUCAGAUUGGGAAUAAAGAUUUAUCGGUUAUAGAUGGGGAUGCGUCUGAUUAGCUUGUUGGCGGGGUAACGGCCCACCAAGGCAACGAUCAGUAGGGGUUCGGAGAGGAAGGUCCCCCACAUUGGAACUGAGACACGGUCCAAACUCCGACGGGAGGCAGCAGUGAGGAAUAUUGGUCAAUGGGCGGAAGCCUGAACCAGCCAAGUAGCGUGCAGGAUGACGGCCCUAUGGGUUGUAAACUGCUUUUAUACAGGAAUAAAGUUAGCCACGUGUGGUUAUUUGUAGGUACUGUAUGAAUAAGGACCGGCUAAUUCCGUGCCAGCCGCCGCAGUAA
RNAcentral lists this ribosomal RNA (506 nucleotides) under uncultured bacterium. RNAcentral's name for it is "partial 16S ribosomal RNA". It matches the Rfam family "Bacterial small subunit ribosomal RNA", at positions 28 to 523 of the family's 1533-position model. The record is from RNAcentral.